Molecule: ribosomal RNA, 253 nt
Filed under: uncultured bacterium
Lineage: Bacteria
Description: partial 16S ribosomal RNA
Rfam family: Bacterial small subunit ribosomal RNA
Source: RNAcentral
GACAAAGGGUGCAAACGUUGUUCGGAAUUACUGAGCGUAAAGCGCGUGUAGGCGAUCGGGCAAGUCGGAUGUGAAAGCCCCGGGCUCAACCCGGGAAGUGCAUUCGAUACUGCUUGGCUAGAGUACUGGAGAGGAUGGUGGAACUCUCGGUGUAGAGGUGAAAUUCGUAGAUAUCGAGAAGAACACCGGCGGCGAAGGCGGCCAUCUGGACAGAUACUGACGCUAAGACGCGAAAGCGUGGGAAGCAAACAGG